GGCCUAUUGAAGAUAAUUUUAGGUCUGGCCUGCCCACUGAUAAAAUUAAAGGGCCGCAGUAAAUUGACUGUGCUAAGGUAGCAUAAUCAUUAGUUUCUUAAUUAGGAACUGGAAUGAAAGGUUUGAUAGGAAAAUAACUGUCUCUUAUUAAUUUUGAUGAAAUUUAUAUUUAAGUAAAAAAGCUUAAAUUUUUUUAAAAGACGAGAAGACCCUAUAGAGUUUAAUAUAAUUUAUAUUAGAAAUUUUUUAUAAAUAUAAUUUUUUAAAGUAGAUUAUAUUUAGUUGGGGUGAUAGAAAAAUUAGAAUAACUUUUUUUAUUAAUUACAUUUAUUUAUGAGUUGAUGAUCCAUGGAUUUUGAUUAUAAGAAUAAAUUACCUUAGGGAUAACAGCGUAAUUUUUUUUGAAAGUUCUUAUUGAUAAAGAAGAUUGCGACCUCGAUGUUGGAUUAAAAUUAAAGUUUGGUGUAGGAGCUAAAUUAUUAGGUCUGUUCGACCUUUAAAAUUUUACAUGA
RNAcentral lists this ribosomal RNA (512 nucleotides) under Astathes sp. IBE JGZ-3734. RNAcentral's name for it is "partial large subunit ribosomal RNA". It matches the Rfam family "Bacterial large subunit ribosomal RNA", at positions 1819 to 2603 of the family's 2925-position model. Lineage: Eukaryota; Metazoa; Arthropoda; Insecta; Coleoptera; Cerambycidae. The record is from RNAcentral.